AACGAACGCUGGCGGCAGGCCUAACACAUGCAAGUCGAGCGCCCCGCAAGGGGAGCGGCGGACGGGUGAGUAACGCGUGGGAACGUACCCUUUGCUACGGAAUAGCCUCGGGAAACUGGGAGUAAUACCGUAUGUGCCCUUCGGGGGAAAGAUUUAUCGGCAAAGGAUCGGCCCGCGUUGGAUUAGGUAGUUGGUGGGGUAAUGGCCUACCAAGCCGACGAUCCAUAGCUGGUUUGAGAGGAUGAUCAGCCACACUGGGACUGAGACACGGCCCAGACUCCUACGGGAGGCAGCAGUGGGAAUCUUAGACAAUGGGCGCAAGCCUGAUCUAGCCAUGCCGCGUGAGCGAUGAAGGCCUUAGGGUUGUAAAGCUCUUUCAGUGGGGAAGAUAAUGACUGUACCCACAGAAGAAGCCCGGCUAACUCCGUG
Molecule: ribosomal RNA, 429 nt
Filed under: uncultured bacterium
Lineage: Bacteria
Description: bacterial SSU rRNA
Rfam family: Bacterial small subunit ribosomal RNA
Source: RNAcentral